This is a non-coding RNA of Pelobates cultripes (western spadefoot toad), 498 nucleotides long. The record is from the annotation of a GenBank genome assembly. NCBI's taxonomy places the organism in Eukaryota, Metazoa, Chordata, Amphibia, Anura, Pelobatidae.
CUGGGAAAAAUGCCAGCCGGCUUUUGAGUUCUUUUUCGAACUCUGUCUGUGUAGUUUCCAUAGGAGGUGUUGCAGCAGCUGCUCUAUCUCCCUCCAUGAGUUCAGCAACAAGGAUGGCUUUAGCUUUAUUGCUGGCAAUGAUUCCCCUUGUUUCCAAUAGCUCUUUUAUUGUAGCCCGUUUCAAAUGUGUAUAAUCCGUCCCCAUUCACUGUCCGUUCGGGUAUAUUCACAUACCCUCGAGCUUCAGUUUCAUACGAAUAGGGAUUUCCAUGAAUUGCUGUUCCUGUUCUCUUAUUCUUGCUCAAUCUGCCAAACAACGGUCUGCUGUGAGAUUUGAAUCCUGUCGCUUGCCACCAAUUGUAGCGGAGUAGCAGGGGUUAAUCCAAGAGUUCUCCGCUUGAAACAAAGCUUCAGCAUACAGGAAUAUAAAAUAUAGCAUAAUCCCCCUCCCCAAGGACUAGACAACACAUAGUCUGGGAGUCAACUGGCUUUUAUUGC